This is a long non-coding RNA of Strigops habroptila (Kakapo), 391 nucleotides long. RefSeq lists it as uncharacterized. Lineage: Eukaryota; Metazoa; Chordata; Aves; Psittaciformes; Psittacidae. The record is from RefSeq and is a predicted model, not a curated record. The transcript is spliced from 2 exons.
AGCAGCUCUGGCUCACAGUGGGCUCCCACUGAAGAACCUCUCCUCUUGGAGAAGACCCAUCUCCUGCUCUUCAUUCAGCUCUUCAGCUCGUUCCAGAGGCUGUGGCUCAGAACCAGCGGGGAAGAGGGGACAAAGAAGCCUUUUGCUUUGGAAGCAUCCUUCAGGAGGAACACGUUACAAGACCCACAGUCAUGCAGUAGUAAGACACAUCACAGAUUACUUCCUCCCUUCGCAUCUCAACAGCCUCUCUGCAACCCAGAGAGCAGCAAAGACUGGGAGACCCAUGCUCCACUGUGUCCAUCCAUCUCGUUCCUUCCUUUACCAGGCAGCCAUGUGGAAGGUAUUGGCUUAUGGGUUUAAGCCCGCUAAUUAAAACGUGCUGGAGAGGUUU